UAUUAUAUUAAUGCCUUAACGGCAGAAUCACAUUCAAGAUUGAAAAGAGUGUAUAUGUGAAGAAAGGGAGAAUUCUAGCAGUAAGCCUGCUUAAAACCCCCCUUCCAAAAGGUGCACAGGUGUUUGGGAUAAAGGAUUGUUGGGGGCGAGCACAUGCAAGCCAAAAGGCAGCAUGCCAGCAUCAACCCCCAUUACAAUUCAGUAAUGAUCCUUCCGCAGGUUCACCUACGGAAA
Molecule: unclassified non-coding RNA, 234 nt
Filed under: uncultured fungus
Lineage: Eukaryota; Fungi
Description: sequence contains ITS1
Source: RNAcentral